CUUUUUCUUUUUUUUUUUUUUUGUGGUUUUACAGUUUUAUAUCUUUGUUAUAUUUUUGAGACCUAAAGGAAAAAAAUGCACUGUCUGCUGCUACUGGUUUCAGUCCAGUGCACAACGGAUUGAAAGUGAUCUGAACAGAUUUUCAAGUGCACAACAGAUCAAAAACGUGAGGGAGUGGAUAGGUGCAAUGAGAAAGUAGAAUACUGAGUGCAAUAUCUGCAGAACUGUUCUCAUGGUACACUCCAGAUUCCUUGAGUGUGUGUAUCAGUCACCUUUAUGUAUGCACACACCAUUUGUGUACACAGUUCUCUGGUUUUAGUUCUCUCAGUUCUCAGAUGGCGCUUCAGGAGCCGAACGUGGCGUGCUGUGCUGCUCCAACAACCAUUGCCUGGCUUUUCUCUUGGACACGGAUGGAAAGCACCAUCUUUUCAUCAAAACACACCCCUGGUUCCUUCAAUUUCCAAACAAAACCUCAGUGCUGUGGAUUUUACAAUUGAGGUGUGGAGAGAAGAGUGACACAUUGCCUUCAUCAGGAUCACAGUUAACUCUGAAGACCAACACAAAGUUGCUCCUUUAGCUCAAAGAGCUUUCUUACAAUUUCUCUUGCAAAAGACAUCUCUGUUUUCCCCUCCAGCUUCUGUUGUAUUGCUGAAGGAUGUUUCAUGCCUUUCCCACGUCCUGUGGCACAGCAAGAAUAGCAGAGAAGAGAGUGCUUAAUUGUCAACAUCGCUCAAGCAGUUCAAGCAGGAGUGGUGUUCUCCAGCCAGCUCUCCACGGCUUCCCUAACACACCAGUGAGCCACGAGACUCAGGCAGAAAUUCCAGUGUGAGUCAUGAGAUGAUACCAUGCCACCUGCUCAGAAAGCCUUGUUUGCUGUUGAGCUGUCUCCAGGAACUUUCUUUGCCUCCAAUUUAGGUAAUGUUUUUAUUACCCUACUUUUUAAAUAGGGGCUGUGACUUGCUGUGGUCCUGAUGCUGCUGGGGCCACUUUUCUGGUCCAGUUAAUUUACUUCAGCUGGUUGUGAAGGCUCCCCAAUGACAACUUUCAGGUAACAGGAAAGAAAGAACAACUCUCCUUGCAGGAGUUAGUAGUUAAAGAGUCACUCUGUGAAGCUGUAGGGUCCAGCACUGAUUUGUAGCACCACCUUCGGCAAGCAGCUUUUGCUUUUGUCUGUCAAGCUUCACAAGGGGAGGGAUGGUGGAUGCAGAGCUCUUGUGACCUUGGUAGGUGCUAGGGGAGGCCACCUCUUCAGGAUUAGAGGAAUGGAUGGGAAUCAUGGAAUUCUAAUGAGCACUGACUCGUGAGAGACAACACUUGGAGGCUUUUUGUGAUGCCUUUUGAACUGCAGCCAGCCCUGCUGGUCAUGCUCCUGACAUGCCUCCGAGCUGAUUGCAUGGAGAUUUCCUUGCAUUUGGUACAGAAUGCCUGCUCUCAGAUGGUGUUUCACAUUCUCAUGACUUCAGCCUGCCUGUUCUGAUAUGCCAGCGUGCCUGCUGCUCGCUCCUGUGCGCUCCAGUGGGUCAGGAGUGCUGCUCCCUUCCUGGCGUGGGAUUUCCCUGUGGUUCUCAAGGAUGUGGUGUCAGCUUAGCUGUCCCAAAUCUCUGUGUCCUGAAAGCCUCUUUCCCCAUCACUUGUCAAGCCACACCUGCCUUUUCUCCUCCUCCUCCUACCCCAGACUUUCUCUCUAUUUUUUUUUUUUUUUUUUUUUUGUGAUGUUGUUACACUAAAUCUUCUCUAGGACUCGAUGUUGAAGCAAAGGUGGUCAAAGGAGGGAGGGAAAGGAUAUAUUCAUUCAAUUAUAGGGACUCGCUAAACAAACAAACAAACAAAAAGGAAUAUUUAUCACUGUAGUUCUCCUGCAAUUUUGGCAUGGCAAAGGUGGUUCUCUUCUCUCAGUCAGAGACAGAUUUUUUUCAGAGCUUUAACAUCAAAUUUAAUACGUCAUUUAAGAUAUGUGAUUGCACAAAAUGUGCUGGUGUUUUUCUACUGGAAAGACUGUGAUCUUUGCAACAGUUUUUGCUCUGACUCAGGUUCACAGCCCUCAGGAAGCUCUAAGGGUGGAAGGAAGGCAAAUUUCCAAAUGAAGGAAAAGGAAAUAAGCAUAACAGAGAACUGAGAGAGCCCAGUUCUUCCUUCAGGACAGUGCUUAAGUACUUUGAUGUGGUAGCAGAAUUUCUUCUUGAUGAGGGAGGACAUAUCAGCCAAGUCCCUUAGUAACUCACUAAGUAUCCUUCCUUAUCAAAUUUUUCCACCACACAUAUAUUUAUUUACCAAGCGUCUUUUGUAUUCAGGUUUUCCACCACACAUAUUUAUUUACUGCACCUCUCUUUUACAACUCCUGUUCCGUGAGCAAGAUAUUCUGUUGCAGAACUUUCUAUUUAGUGCUGGACUGCCCCAGUUCAUGAGUGAACCUUCUCUCCUUACCCCUGAAAUGCCUCUGUUGUGUUUGUGGCACAUUUUCUUGUCCCACUAAUUUCUUUGGAUAGACAAGCUGAGGCACCAAGGGGAAUACAUGACUUAAGACCCUGCAAGGAGACAGUGGCUGAUGAAGAAGUGAAGAUUACACAGGUCUUGUCUCCAACAGUAAAUCAAUGAGAAUAUACACUGUGUCUCAUGCUACAUAAUGGUGAGAGACAUGAGCUGCUACCAUAAAAAGAACAAUUUAGGGAGUAUAUAUAUAUCCCCUGACAUUUAGAAUGUUCUCUUUCCAUAUGUAAGAGAUGUAAGUGGGAUUCUAGCUCUUAUAUCCAGCCUGUGAUGUGUCAGUAUAAGAGGAAAUUGCAAGUCUGAUGCUGAAAUGACAAUGAAUGGGUGGGAAAAUUGUGGCAACUCAGACCUCACUGCUGAGAUCCCAUUUAAUCAGUGUACAUACCAUGUCCUUCAUUAUACCCAUUUUUAUAUUAAUUUUAUCUCUUUUUUUUUUUUUUUUCAGACUGUGAUACAGGUUGUGGACCUUCAGCAUUUGUACAGGCUGAUAAAAAAGGACAAGUAAAGUACAAAUACAGAUAAUUAAUCAGUACCACCUAUCCCAUUGCCCAAUUGUUAAUUUUGCAAAACAUCUUAUUCUGUAACGUGACAGGUAUGGUUUGUUUUGCUUUGAAAGUAAAGUGCUUUAGUGUUCAGUGCUCUGCAGCUUUAAAUUCUCAUUUUAAUGCUCGUUUUGUCUCCUGAAGGCCACAGUCUUUACCCCUUGAGGCAGAGACUUUGUUCUCUUUCAACAGCUGCUUCAUUUUUCUCUUUUCUUUUGAUCCUUUUAGCUAGAACUUUCAAUUUUCAGUCUAUGGAAGAAGAAAAUUCUAGCAUUAAACAUAAAAUCAUAUUCCACUUUCAUUUCUGAGUAGUGCUUAUUUGAUUCAAAUAAAUAAAUUUAUUUGAAACAAGGAAUAGCAACAAUAUGAUACUUCAGAUAAGUAUUACUGGGAUCAGUGAAGCAAAAUAAAAUAAACCUGUAUUUGCUACACACCCUGAAUUCUACUUUUUAAAAAUUUUCACUAAAACACUUUUUUAUUUGUAAUCUCAGGCCAAUCAUCUCAUUUCUGCUGUGAUAGGACAGGAUGCCUUUAUUUCUCCUGGUAUCUUCUUCUAUUCUUCUGAUGAUUUUGGACAAAAAUAGGCAGCGAGAAAUUAGAGAGAAAGGGAAAGGUGAUGUCAGCUGUUGUGCUGUGACUGUGUUAGCUUCAUUGACUUAGGAAAUCCUGUGGAAAGAUUAUUGUCUUAUCCUGGACACACAGGUAACUCGUUGCAGAAAUAUAAAAGUUCAAUCUAUCCUAUUUGUGUUACAAAGUCAGAACAUAUAGGCAUCUCAGUAAACCCUUGCAUUAGAAUUUUAAAUGGAAUUUAGUUAUUUUAUUAUCCAAAGUCCUGGUGAAAAAUAUUUAACCACUCCCAAGCUUAAUUUCCCUAAAAUGUUCACGGGAUUUAGAAAGCCUAGCCUGUGAAAGAGGUUCUGUGAUGCACCUGAAGAGGUACCUGGAUAUCUUCAAGAAACUGGGACCACAUCUCUCAUUGGUAGAUAAUUCCUGAACAUGUGGCCUGUGACUCUUCCCCUCAUCAGGGAUGCACCUUCUGGGUGGGUGCAACAGAUCCUGGAUGCUUGCCCAAAACCUGGGAAAUGGUAAUGGAAAACUGUGUAAUGGGAAUUACCCAAAACUGGCUAAUGGGAAAAGGAAUUAGCCUUAAAGACACUGCAACGGCAAAUAUGACACUCUGAGACAAAUCAGCCCCUAUUUACAAUGUGCCACGUUUGUUGUAAUUCACUAUAAAAUGUAAAUAUUAUCCCAUGGAAUAUUAACAGCAUAUCCAUCCUUGCUUCCCGGUGUUGUCUUGUUGAUUCACAUCUCAUUAGUUCCCUGCCCUUCUCUUCCUUGUCUUCCUUCUCUGGUGGAAAGUUUGGAUUUCUGCUUCCCAAAUGGGUUGGGUGCAUUGGAGCCUGACUCUGUCUGUUCAGGGCACUCUGCUGUGCAACGUCAUCCAGCCAGCUUUCCCAAAUUCUGCAUUCCUUCUCUCCUGCUUUCCCACUGCCCUUCUGCCUCCUCCUGCCAGAUGCUGCCUCAUUCUGGGCCUGACUUGAGGCUAUUCUGUCUGAUUUGCAUCCCACAGCUGUUAUUUGAUCUCAGUUCUGCUCUUUUCUCCCUCCUCCCCCUCCUAGUUUUGAUCUAGUUCCAGAGUUUCAUUAUCUAAUUCAUUUGUUCUGGUAGACCUUUAAUUUCUUCGUCUUUUAUUAGGCCUAAUGGGAAUUGUUUUCUCGCUUUGGAGCUUAGUGAUGGCUUCUUUUCCCAUUUAAUAUGUCCAGGCUGCCAGGCACUUGUAGCAGCCUGCACCUCAGCCUACAGCAGGCCAUGGUUGUUAUCUGGCUUUUCCCAGCAGUUGUUUGGCUCAGAACCAAGAACGCAGGAGUGCCCAAAAAGCCUGUGUGAUGUCUGCCCCUGACAAUGGGACAAAAUUACCAGCUCACUUCAGAGAUUGGCACCCUCAAAACUCUGCCUUUCUCUACAUGUGGCUGGAUAUGGUUCAUUUGUGAGGUUUGCCUGGGAGACAGGCAGGAGAUGUUACACAUCCUGCAGAAAAAAACAACAACAAAAAAAAAACCAAACAAAAAAAACCCCAAAAAACCAAAAACCCUCAGCUGCCUUUUUGCCAGGUUCCAAUCUCAGGAAUCCAAAGAGCCAUCCUGGAUGUGACUUAAAGAUGGCAAACACUGAAAGCAGCAUGCUGAGCGGGUUUCAAUUUUCUUUUACAGGCACAGGACAAACAGGAGGUGAAUUUACGGAAGCUGCCUCAGCCCCCAGUUCUGGGCACCACUCGACACCAGCACAGUCAUUUUCCUUCACCCACAUUCUCAAUUUUAAGGGUCUUGACAUGUUCUGCAUUGUGGCUGAUGGUCCAGUCAGUGGUUGCUGCUCCUUAUCCAUGCUUCCACAUCUCCAUACAUUUUUUAUAUACACAGUUGUUACUCCUGAAAUAGACACAGAUGCAUUUUGGGAACUGUCACAACCCCUAUUUUACCAGGCAAUGAAUCAGAGAAUUAAUCACUUGCUGCUUUCAGCAGUAUAGGAUAUAGAGUCACUCCUAUCAAUUUACUAACCAAGAAACAAAGUGCUAAUUUAAGUUGCUAGCCACACAAAGUUCACACAAGGUAAAGGAGAGUAAAACAUAAGUGAGCAUGUAGUCUGACUCCUCUGCAAAUUGUGAGUUUGAUGGUGUGUUAAGUAAAUGCACCUCAGUUACUGAAUAUUUUUUGCAUAAGCAGAGUACAAAUUCUCAAACGUUAUUUAAAACAUUACUGUGUUCCUAAUAAAGUCUGACUGUAACAAACCAGCGUG
Molecule: long non-coding RNA, 5822 nt
Filed under: Taeniopygia guttata (zebra finch)
Lineage: Eukaryota; Metazoa; Chordata; Aves; Passeriformes; Estrildidae
Description: lncRNA (ENSTGUG00000028682.1)
Source: RNAcentral